GGGGAUGUAGCUCAGUGGGAGAGCGCUUGCUUUGCAUGUAAGAGGCCCUGGGUUCAAACCCCAGCAUCUCCA
Molecule: non-coding RNA, 72 nt
Organism: Anas platyrhynchos (mallard)
Lineage: Eukaryota; Metazoa; Chordata; Aves; Anseriformes; Anatidae
Source: the annotation of a RefSeq genome assembly